Molecule: ribosomal RNA, 601 nt
Filed under: Cyphellophora olivacea
Lineage: Eukaryota; Fungi; Ascomycota; Eurotiomycetes; Chaetothyriales; Cyphellophoraceae
Description: eukaryotic LSU rRNA
Rfam family: 5.8S ribosomal RNA (bases 208-360)
Source: RNAcentral
GUCGAGCUACGGUCGCCCCGCGCGCCCGACCUCCACCCUUUGUCUACCUGACCUACAUGUUGCUUCGGCAGGCCCGCCCGCCCCCCCGCGAGGGGGGAAAGGCCGCCGGGGGUCUCACGACCCCGGGCCCGCGCCUGUCGACGGCCCCAACCACAAAACUCUUGUUAAAAACCGUGUCGUCUGAGUACCACAUUUUAAUCAAAUUAAAACUUUCAUUAACGGAUCUCUUGGUUCUGGCGUCAUUGAAGAAAGCAUGCAAGUGCGAUAGUUAAGGCAAAUUGCAAAAUCCGGGAUUCUUCGAAUCUUUAAACGCACAUUGCCCCCUCUGGUAUUCCGGAGGGCAUGCCUGUUCGAGCGUCAUUAUCACCCCUCAGGCCCGGCUUGUUGUUGGACGCGGCGGCGGCCUCUUCGCGCCCCGCCCGCCUCAAAAAUAAUGACGGCGUCUGUGAGGACUCCUGGACACUGAACUUUCGGGCACUUACUAGGCCAGCACUCCAAACACCGGUCACCGUCUCUUUACUGGGACACUUUUUACCACAAGGUUGACCUCGGAUCAGGUAGGAAUACCCGCUGAACUUAAGCAUAUCAAUAAGCGGAGGAA